RNAcentral lists this ribosomal RNA (910 nucleotides) under Angularia xanthoceratis. RNAcentral describes it as "partial large subunit ribosomal RNA". It matches the Rfam family "Eukaryotic large subunit ribosomal RNA", at positions 48 to 978 of the family's 3401-position model. Lineage: Eukaryota; Fungi; Ascomycota; Dothideomycetes; Pleosporales; Leptosphaeriaceae. The record is from RNAcentral.
UUCGGGAGGAAGACCAACAGGGAUUGCCCUAGUAACGGCGAGUGAAGCGGCAACAGCUCAAAUUUGAAAUCUGGCUCUUUUAGGGUCCGAGUUGUAAUUUGCAGAGGGCGCUUUGGCGUUGGCAGCGGUCCAAGUUCCUUGGAACAGGACGUCACAGAGGGUGAGAAUCCCGUACGUGGUCGCUGGCCUUCGCCGUGUAAAGCCCCUUCGACGAGUCGAGUUGUUUGGGAAUGCAGCUCUAAAUGGGAGGUAAAUUUCUUCUAAAGCUAAAUACUGGCCAGAGACCGAUAGCGCACAAGUAGAGUGAUCGAAAGAUGAAAAGCACUUUGGAAAGAGAGUCAAAUAGCACGUGAAAUUGUUGAAAGGGAAGCGCUUGCAGCCAGACUUGCCUGUAGUUGCUCAUCCGGGCUUUUGCCCGGUGCACUCUUCUGCGGGCAGGCCAGCAUCAGUUUGGGCGGUUAGAUAAAGGUCUCUGUCAUGUACCUCUCUUCGGGGAGGCCUUAUAGGGGAGACGACAUGUAACCAGCCUGGACUGAGGUCCGCGCAUUUGCUAGGAUGCUGGCGUAAUGGCUGUAAGCGGCCCGUCUUGAAACACGGACCAAGGAGUCUAACAUCUAUGCGAGUGUUUGGGUGUCAAGCCCGAGCGCGCAAUGAAAGUGAACGGAGGUGGGAACCCUUUAGGGUGCACCAUCGACCGAUCCUGAUGUCUUCGGAUGGAUUUGAGUAAGAGCAUGGCUGUUGGGACCCGAAAGAUGGUGAACUAUGCUUGAAUAGGGUGAAGCCAGAGGAAACUCUGGUGGAGGCUCGCAGCGGUUCUGACGUGCAAAUCGAUCGUCAAAUUUGGGCAUAGGGGCGAAAGACUAAUCGAACUAUCUAGUAGCUGGUUCCUGCCGAGUUUCCCCCUCUUGGA